Molecule: transfer RNA, 85 nt
Filed under: Ochrobryum gardneri
Lineage: Eukaryota; Viridiplantae; Streptophyta; Bryopsida; Dicranales; Leucobryaceae
Description: tRNA-Leu
Rfam family: tRNA
About the family: Transfer RNA (tRNA) molecules are approximately 80 nucleotides in length.
Source: RNAcentral
GGGGAUAUGGCAGAAUUGGUAGACGCUACGGACUUAAAAUCCGUUGGCUUUAUUGACCGUGAGGGUUCAAGUCCCUCUACCCCCA